Molecule: ribosomal RNA, 253 nt
Filed under: uncultured bacterium
Lineage: Bacteria
Description: partial 16S ribosomal RNA
Rfam family: Bacterial small subunit ribosomal RNA
Source: RNAcentral
UACGGGGGGGGCAAGCGUUGUUCGGAAUUACUGGGCGUAAAGGGCUCGUAGGCGGCCAACUAAGUCGGAUGUGAAAUCCCCAAGCUUAACUUGGGAACUGCAUCCGAUACUGGAUGGCUUGAAUCCGGGAGAGGGAUGCAGAAUUCCAGGUGUAGCGGUGAAAUGCGUAGAUAUCUGGAGGAACACCGAUGGCGAAGGCAGCCCCCUGGGUCAAGAUUGACGCUCAUGCACGAAAGCGUGGGGAGCAAACAGG